This 417-nucleotide ribosomal RNA is filed under the name uncultured bacterium. Its description in RNAcentral is "bacterial SSU rRNA". It matches the Rfam family "Bacterial small subunit ribosomal RNA", at positions 355 to 786 of the family's 1533-position model. The record is from RNAcentral.
UGGGGAAUAUUGGGCAAUGGGCGCAAGCCUGACCCAGCAACGCCGCGUGAAGGAUGAAGGCUUUCGGGUUGUAAACUUCUUUUAUCAGGGACGAAAUAAAUGACGGUACCUGAUGAAUAAGCCACGGCUAACUACGUGCCAGCAGCCGCGGUAAUACGUAGGUGGCAAGCGUUAUCCGGAUUUACUGGGUGUAAAGGGCGUGUAGGCGGGACUGCAAGUCAGGUGUGAAAACCACGGGCUCAACCUGUGGCCUGCAUUUGAAACUGUAGUUCUUGAGUGCUGGAGAGGCAAUCGGAAUUCCGUGUGUAGCGGUGAAAUGCGUAGAUAUACGGAGGAACACCAGUGGCGAAGGCGGAUUGCUGGACAGUAACUGACGCUGAGGCGCGAAAGCGUGGGGAGCAAACAGGAUUAGAUACC